GAUGAACGCUGGCGGCGUGCCUAAUACAUGCAAGUCGAGCGAACAGACGAGGAGCUUGCUCCUCUGACGUUAGCGGCGGACGGGUGAGUAACACGUGGAUAACCUACCUAUAAGACUGGGAUAACUUCGGGAAACCGGAGCUAAUACCGGAUAAUAUAUUGAACCGCAUGGUUCAAUAGUGAAAGACGGUUUUGCUGUCACUUAUAGAUGGAUCCGCGCCGCAUUAGCUAGUUGGUAAGGUAACGGCUUACCAAGGCGACGAUGCGUAGCCGACCUGAGAGGGUGAUCGGCCACACUGGAACUGAGACACGGUCCAGACUCCUACGGGAGGCAGCAGUAGGGAAUCUUCCGCAAUGGGCGAAAGCCUGACGGAGCAACGCCGCGUGAGUGAUGAAGGUCUUCGGAUCGUAAAACUCUGUUAUUAGGGAAGAACAAAUGUGUAAGUAACUAUGCACGUCUUGACGGUACCUAAUCGAAAGCCACGGCUAACUACGUG
RNAcentral lists this ribosomal RNA (496 nucleotides) under uncultured bacterium. RNAcentral describes it as "partial 16S ribosomal RNA". It matches the Rfam family "Bacterial small subunit ribosomal RNA", at positions 28 to 507 of the family's 1533-position model. The record is from RNAcentral.